GAAAUAAAUACAAAUAGGAAACAGACUAUAGCAUGAAUUCACGUUGAUGAAAAGUCCAUUUGAUCCCGUUUCUCACAAUUUCACAUUUUUUUCCGAGCAAAAUGACAAUUUUUGAUAUUUUUCAAAGCCUUAUUAAAAAAAAGUGUCAUUUCUCUAUAGGUUACAAGAGCGCAAUUAUUCGUAAUGCAUUUUCCAUAGGGUACCACUAGUGUUCCGUAUUUUUUUUCUCGAAGACUACACAAACUAGGGAAAAACGGGUGGCAGUUCCUGUUAGUACAAAUGCCAGUGUUGCAUUACAACCAAAAUAAAAAUAUAGGGUCAUGCGGCUCAAAUUGACUUAAAAUGUAG
RNAcentral lists this long non-coding RNA (348 nucleotides) under Mytilus galloprovincialis (Mediterranean mussel). The record is from RNAcentral. Lineage: Eukaryota; Metazoa; Mollusca; Bivalvia; Mytilida; Mytilidae.